This 7166-nucleotide long non-coding RNA is filed under the name Homo sapiens (human). RNAcentral's name for it is "non-protein coding lnc-HEBP2-2:1". Lineage: Eukaryota; Metazoa; Chordata; Mammalia; Primates; Hominidae. The record is from RNAcentral.
GCAAGAUCCUGUCUCAGAAAGAAAAAAAAAAGUCCUAGUCAUUUCUACCAACUCGAAAGCCCUCUAAUAAGCAGUCUCUGCUCUGGAGCUUUUUGGUGGGCUGCUAGAGACUUUGUUAGAUCCUACCGUUCCUCUGCUCAAUCCUGCUUUUCCCUUUUCCUUUCAGAGAUGUCACUUCACCAGUUUUGUACUCCUAACUCCAUCUCAGCCUAAAAUUGGCACAAUUGGUACCAGUGGCCCACGAACGUAGGUGGUAAGACAGCAUUUGCAGGCUGAGUGACUCACUGUCUGGCUGGCUCGGAGGCCCCCAUCCCUGGUGGAUAGGUGGCACAGACAGUCCCUGGCACAAGAAGGCUGUCCAGUGAUGAAGACUUCAGAUGAAAUGGCAUGCUGGUGCAGGGGAACGCAAUGACUGGUGGGUGAUUUGGGUGUCUCAAAUAUGGGAAGGGUGGAUAAAAGAGACAAGGACAGUGGGCUUCCAUGGUUAUUGCUGAGUUGGAUUGACGUCCUGCAAGUGGAUAAUGAAAAGCUGAGGUCAAUUAACAAACAAAACUAAGUGUGAGCCGCAGAGUCUCUGUGGUAGCUUGCCAACAAUCCUCAUCUCAUGCUGUAGCCAAGCAGAGCAAGCUGAAGGCCAAGCACAGGAUUUGAUGGUAAAAGUAGCUAACAGCCAACAAAUACUCAACCAAGCCAGGUCUGUUAGAUCAAGGUUGGAAUCAAACUUGGGAUCCCAAAACAUGGGAUGGGAGCAUUUAGUGGAUCUCCCCAACCAUCUGCCUCCCUAGAAAACUCCCUGAAUAUUCACAUCCUUCAGAAGAGGCCCACCCUUCCCCAUGAAGAGCUGGAACUACCCUCCCUUCCUGCCUCUUCCCUAACACAAGGGAAGACAGUGUCCAAGGUCUUUCCCCAUGAAGCAAAAGGUGUCCCUCAGGACUGGUCCCUCCCCUUCUCCUGGCUACCAGGCCUAUAACGAGACUUAAGUCACAACAUAACUGAUUGCGGCUGAGGGGUCUGAUGAGGGAGAAAUGGGAUCUAUGCCAGAGGAGCCACCUAACCUGGCAGCAUGUACUGCAGGGGCCAGGGGCGUACUCUUGGGACUGGAUCCUGAGGGUGCUUGGUCAAAGGGGCUGGGUUUAUACAACUAGAUAAAGGAGAGGGUAUAUUGACUUGGGGCUCUCAGGAUAGAGGAUUUCACACCAUGAGAAAAAUGCCAGGAGAUAAUACAGACUCACUGCUCUAGGGCAGCUUGGUAGAAGCCUAGAAAGAGUGAUCAAAAUGUUGAAAUGCCUGAAUGGCUGGGACAAACAAUAGAGAAAGGAAUGAGAAGGCUCAGGGAAGGGAGCAUGCCAGCAUGGAUAUAUGAGGCAAGGUGACCCAUCAGACAAUUAUGUUCCACGGGAAGGCCCAGGGGACCCAUCCUUCAGCAAGGCUGCUGGGAAUGCACUGAUAAGCGGGCUUGGGCAUCAUAAAGGAGCUCAGCGGUGGCUCUCCUCGGCAGGCUGGGGCUGGCAGGAAGGGCUGUGAUGGAACUUCACUUGCUGAGAGCAAUGUGGAUGAUGAUGAGACCUUGAAGAGCCCAGGUGGCAGUGCCAGCCACAGAAGCCAGGGUGCCAUCAGUAUCCUGUUAACCACUAAGCUCCAAAUGGCAGCCGAGGGGUCCUGACCUGUAAAGUCUCAUGGAAAUAGUUGGUAGAACAAGGCAUUCCUAGGGACAAAAGAGCUGACUAAUCAACAAGGGUAAGGCUUUAUAUAUAAUCAAAAGUGAGCAAGAAUUGAUGAGCAGGGGACUGAGAGAGAUCACUCCAAUUAAAAAACAAAAACAUGAUUCCUUGCCAGUUUCUAGUUCAGUUUUCUGACCUAGAGCUCAUUAAUUGCAGAGGUGACUGUAUCCUAGGGGAAAGUUUCCUGCAACAUUUCAGCAGGUGUACACAGUAAUGAUCCCCUCAUUCUUUUUCUAAAGGAUCUAUGGCCAUUUACUCAGGUGGCUCUACCCUGGGGAAAGAGGAAUACCUGGAUACGUCAGGGUCCAAGUUAACGUCUGAUACCCAGAAACCCAAAGAGUCAUUACAGUUCCUCCUCCUCCCAUUAAAAUGGGAGCAUACAGAGGUUAGAAAGUAAACGUAGUUCUAAUCAAAGUUUGGCUUACAGCAGAUCUCCUGGGCCUGCAGGUUAUCUGCCUAAUCCCUGAAUGUAUAAUUGAGACUGACAUCCUUGGCAGGCAGAAUAACCCCUACAUUUGUUCCUUGACCUGUGGGGAAAGAGUAUAAGCUUCUAAACUCCCUCUCCUCCAAUCAGGGCAGUAAACCAUAAUAAAUAUUGCCUUGAACAGUAUUUUUUAAGCACCUCGGGUGAACAUCUGCUUCUGGCCAUGAUGAUGAAUUGGGAACCCAAUUUACCUGUCCCUCUUAAACAACUAAAAGCCCAGACAAAAUAUAUGAAACAAUGGUUUUCAGACACUGAAAGUUCAUAGUACAGGACUGUGAUCUCUGCGAGAAGGGGGAAUAAUGAGGUGAGUCCAGUGAUUGCUCAGGCGAAUGGCCUGGAGGCAGUUUCUAGGCAGCAAAGCAGGGAGAGGGAAGCCAGAGACCAGUGGUCCUGCUGUGUUGAGGAGAUGGAGAUCAGUGUCACCGGAGGCCAAGGUGAGUAAGUGAGAGGAGAGGAGGCAGCAGCACACAGACAGAGAGUGCUGUAGAUCUGCAGUGGGUCCCCUGGAGUCCUUGGUUGAGUGAAGGUGUUAGAAGAAACUACUUAAGCCAAGAAAUGAGUAACUGGAAAUUAGUAGAGCAAAUAAUUUACAGAUCAUCUAUGGGGCUGGGAAAAGUUUGUGUUUCCACUAGCCAGAGUAGAAAUAACUCAUAAUGCAUGGGUCAUCAGGUGGAGUCCUCCAACAGGUGUUGCCUUAGUACUGAGGUCAAAUUGUCCCUAGACCAAAGGCUUCUUUGGACUUCCCCUAACAAAGCUUAAAGACAAGCCUUGGAAGGAUCAAACUAAUUUCAAGAAACUUAACUGUGAAUCAGAAUAAAACCCAAUACCAUUUAUAGGAAUAUAACAAAAUCCAUCAACAAACAACAUAACACUCAUAAUUACCAACAUUCAGUAAAAAAUUACUGGAAACAGAGAAAUAUAAAUUAUGGCCCAUAAUUAGGAAAAAAGGGUAAUCAUUAGAAGUAGAACCAGAAGUGACAGAUAUGAAGAAAUUAGCAGCUUGAAUUAUGUGAUGUGGCAGAUCUUAUGUAUUGGAGGUAGGGGGAAAGAAGAUGCAGUGUGGAAUAGAUGACAAGGCCCAAUGAGAGAAUCACAGUGCAGGUCCCUGGGGCCCUGAAGGAAGGUGGUUCUAACCACAGGAGAGGAUCAUAUGCUUUUUGAAAAACAGCCUCUGCUGUGCUACUGGGCCCUGGUAGACACGGAACUUUGAGACCCAGUGAUGCUGUAUCCAGAACUGCUCAUCUUAACUAGGUCCUGUGGGAAGCACUAAGUCAUAAGCUAGUAGGAUCGGCAGCAGCCCAUUGGAAGAUGGAAAUGAUAUGUACAGGAGCAGUUCCAAGCCAGACCAGAGGACAUAAGCAAACUGCAAGAGCAAUUACUCCAACCGCCAUGUCUGCACAGUGGCACCUACAUCCCCCCUCCCUGUGGUUGUUGGAGGACCUGUAUGAUCCACUGAAGGAAGAGGAAUGCUUGGGCUUGGUUUAUUGAUUAGUUAUCUUCUGUAGUUGCAAGCUGAAAAUGGACCUUCACUCAAAGGUGACAUUGAAAAACGGGAAAAAAAUUGCAAUCUUCCUGCAAAAACUGGGCAGAAUUUUUUGAGGUACACUGGAUCAUUCACCUUGUGAGGGAGGACAGGUAAAAUAUUUAUGGAAGUGGCAGAAAAUGGCCUGCCAGCUGAUCAGGAGUUUGGGAGGAAAAAAACAUGGAUUAGGAGGUCUGGGGUAGAGGCAUGUGGAUGGGCAUAUGGAGUGAACACAGAAGUUGAAAAACUGUAUCACAUGUUAAUGCCCACUAGAUAGCACCCACCAGAGAAGAGGCACUAAACAACCAAGUAGAUGAAAUGACUUAGCCUGUUCUAUUAGCUUUUGCCAGUGCCCACCUCAGUGCUGGUAAAAUGCACACAUAAAGUGGCAGUGGUGGCAAAGAUGGAGGCUAUGGAUGGAACCCACCAACAUGGGCUCCCACUUACCAAGGCCAACUUAGACACUGCUCACUGUGACUAUCCAACCUGCCUGCAACAAAUACCAAUGCUGAGACCCUGAUGAGGCUGUGAAGACCAACUGGUCGCUUGAUAGCAAAUUCACUAUGGUAGGCUCAUUCUUUCCUAGAAGCACCAGCAGUUUAUUCACACAAGGACAGACUUCCUAUUCUAGGUAUGUGGUUCCUUUCGGGCCUACAGGGUCCUGAACACAAUCUAAGGACUUACAAAACAUCUGAACUGUCAGCGUAGAUUUGCUGAAUACGUGAUCUAUACAUGUUAACACCCAAUCAGGGAGAGUUCGCCAGCGGUCAUAGGAUCCACUGCUCCUAUCACAUACUGCGCCACCUAGAAGCUGCUAGACUGAUGGAAUGUUGGCAUGGCCUGCUUUAGUGCCAGGUGGGAGACAAUACCCUGCCAAGAUGUGCCACCGUCUCCUGCACACAGUAUACUUAUUGAAUCAGAAAGCCUGUAUGAUGCUGUGUCUACAACAGGAAUAUAUAGAUUUCAGAACCAAGGAGUGGAGGCAGGAGUGACCCCACUUACCAUCGCACCCAACGAACCACUGAGGGACUUAGUACUUCCCAUGCCCACAACUCCAGGUUCUACAGCAUCAGAAGUCCUAGUUCUCAGAGACUGUAUACCUUCUCUAGGCAAUAUUGCAAGAAUCCCAUUGAACUACAGUCUGCUGCUACUAUGUGGGCACUUUGGACUCUGUGUUCAGGGACCAGUAGGCAAGAAGUCACCAUCUAGUCAAGGGUAAUUGACCCUGAACUGCAGGAGGAGGCAAGCCUGCUGUCAGAGGAUAGUGGCGAGAGCAAUGUGUGUGGAACUUAGCGGACCCACUGGAGGCACCCUCUGUACUCCUUGCCCAGUUGUAACUGAAUGGACUAGUGCAGCAACCCUGGUCUGAGAAGGGUUUGGCUCCCAGGAGCUCAGGACCCUCAGGAAUGAGAGCUUGGUUUAUACUAUCAAAAAAGCCACCAAGACCAGCAAAGAUGACAGUUGUGGGUGAGGGGAAUUUAGAAUGAAGCAGGGAGUAAUGAGGACCAGUUGUGGUUCCAAAACCAUUUGCAGGAAGGUGCUAUAGUUGGUCCUACCAAACUCCUCUUUCAACAUUUAUCCUCAGGAAGAGAGGUCCAUUGGCGCCCUGAAACAGUCACUCUCUGCGUGUUUUUGGGAAAAUGGAUCCACAUAGGCAAGGGGUGGACCAUGGCAGGCAUAGAGCGGUGCCACUUAGAUCCCCCUUCAAGACAAGAUAUGCCAUCCAGCUGCAAGGAGUGUGGGUAGCUGGCAGCCACCAGCUGCUACUUCACCAGGAUCCACCUUAGCUUUCAAGCUGAGGUCACGCUAUUCUCAAGACAGGAGGGGUUGGUGGCCAAUGAUUUCACUAAAUUAUGGAAAUUGAGAGCAUGCUUUUCUGAGGGGGCCCUCUUGCCAAAGACCAAGCAAGGCCAUGGUACAAGGACCUAACUGUUUCAGUCCAACACAGGACUCCUCCAAUGAGUGACCUUUUUCCCAGAGUUCCCCUGGGAUGGCAGCUCGCCUGCUCUCCCUGCCUCGUCCUGCUUCCUCUUUUCCUUUCAAAGGUGCUUACUCCAAUAAUAAAUCCUUUGGUAUUCUAACUGUCUACUUCUUGAAGAAUCUAAACUGGCAGUAGGAUCAUGCCCCUCACUGAUAGCUCAACCACGUUUUCUAUCUUUGGGCCUCCUUGUCUUUACCUAGCACAUGAGAAGCAUUUAUUAGGACUUUUUUUCCCCCAUUGCUGAACAAAUGACUACAGAUUGCUCUACCUCUUGUUCUGUGAAUAAAGGCUGGCCGCUGUGGAAGGUAGGUCAGAGCAGGCAACUGAGAGAAACUGUAUUACAGUUACCGAGUGGCUUAUUAAGGAAAGUGGCGCAACAAUCAGGUCCAUGUUUCAUUCAAAUGACCCUCCAUUCCCCCAACAACAUCCUCACAUCUGCCAAAGCAAAUUAUGCUGCUGUGCUCAUUUGAUGAUGGAAUCAGCAUCGCAUGCAGGCUGAACCCCUACUACGGCAGAACCAAGAAAGCCACUCUUUCCCCUCUCCUCCUAAGAUGCCACCACAGAGCAGGGUGCCAGUGGUGGGUGGGGAGAAAGACGGAGACACAGAAACGUCUCCUUUUCACUGUGAUUCUCCUAAGGAAUAUACAGUCACCCCCACAGGAAAAGCAAGAGUUCAAUCAAGAUUCUUCAGAAAUAGUAGGAUGGCAGAAAGCAGAUCGCAUUGAGGUUGUUUCCAACUGACAGACCAAGCAGUAAUUUGUUUCUCUCCCCACUGAUAGUAAAAAUAAAGUGGAAAUAAUUUAGGGCUGGGGCUUCUGUGAUUAUCUGGAACUUAAAGUAUGAGGGUAUGAGAGCCAUCAGAUCUACCCCUGUGGAGCUUUUUAAGAUGCGGUCCAUAACAGAAGCGGGCCCCAAGGAGUAGAGUAGCCACAUGGAAGGUGCCAUGUUUCAGGGAUGAGUCUCGAUUCUUCUCUCCCUGUAUUUCAUCCAUGCCUGUAAGAAGUUCUCACGUCUCUCCACAUGCCACGUCAUCUGAACCGCCAGGCGAUAGGUUAUUCGUAUUUUAUUCCAAAGUCCAUAGGACACGAUGUGGACUUGUUUUUCCACGUGCCCUUGUAGAUGGUGCCAUCCAGUGUCUGUGAUGUUCCACCUCCUCUGUUGGGUUGUCACCUCCCCCAGAGACCUUCUGGUCUCACUGCUUUUCUGUUUGUAUCCAGCAAAACACUCAACAAUUCUGUAUAAGAACACCUAUCUCAUUAUUCAAAAAAAAUGCAUGUAUAAACAAAAAGAAAUAUUUCAAAUAUUUACUUUACAAUUGUUUUAUUCAAAGGAAAUUAAAUACAAAUGUAUAUUUUUCAUUAAAAAUGGGGAUUUAAAAAUAGUUUUAUAAUUAGUGUUAUGUUGCUUUAUCUUAUCUUUGCAUAAAUUAUGUAUUAUUAAAGGUUUCUGAUAUCCAUA